Cucumis melo (muskmelon) is the source of this 3944-nucleotide long non-coding RNA. RefSeq lists it as uncharacterized. The transcript has 7 exons. Lineage: Eukaryota; Viridiplantae; Streptophyta; Magnoliopsida; Cucurbitales; Cucurbitaceae. The record is from RefSeq and is a predicted model, not a curated record.
UGUGACUUUUCAUUUACUCUUGAAAACUAGACCAUUUUUCAUUUGACCUCCAAACAAAGUCAUCACCUAAAGAACACACCUUCAGAAGGAAAAGCAUCGGAACAGAGACUGUUUUCUUGGAUUAAUCUUAUGAAACGGAAAUUCUGGGGGACUCCCAUGGGUGUUCAAUCUUGCUUAUUUCUCACCAAGCUCUAGUUUCUGAUUCAUGCAACACUUGCGAUGUAAUGUGAUAAAGUAGAGAAAUAAGAAGAAUGUCACGGUUCCCAAAAGCGCGUGUGAUACUUACUCCAAAUAAUUCCGUCUCAUCGGAAAUAAAAAGAUCACAACUCAGAGCAAAGCAUGGAUUCUUAAUAAUUGCACGAACGCCCCUUUUGGCUGUCAACACUCAUUCUACAUCCGCCGAGUCUCUACCCUUGCACGGACAUCAAAACCAUAUUCCCUCCUACUUACAUUCCUCUCCCGUAUCCGCUUUCUCUCCCCCACCGUUGUCUCCUCCGUCGGUUUCAAAAUUGGAGAAUUUCUUCUGUUUUGGCCGCAAAUAUUUUAAUGCGAUACUCUUCAUUAAAGACCGUGGCCGGAAGUACUGUUUAGAAUUUGCAUUCAUCUUUAACUCUCUUUUGUUUGAUGGGUUUUUCUUUCCCUAUAGAUGAACCCGGGAAACAGGUAAAGAGCGCCUUCAGAAUGAAGAAUACAAGCAGAUCCCAUGUAGCUUUCAAGGUGUUACUUUAAUUAUUUUUCCAUUGCAGGCCUACUUUCACUUUUUCUUCUUUCAAUUAUUCUUAUAUCGAUUUCUUACUUCUUAAGUCCCAACAAGCCGAUCGUACGGAAAACGCUUAACUCAACGUCAGUGCAUAUGAUUCUGUUCUUCCAUGUACCUUUCUCAAAUUCCAUGCAUGUUAAUUAUUUGUUAUUUUUUUUUCUCGGGUAAUUAAUGUUUUUGGGAACUUUAUUAAAAGAUAAAGAUAGUUUCAGCGAAUCCAUCUAACAAACUGCUCGUCUCGUAGUAUAGUUUGUCCCGGUGGUCUGCUUGAUCAUCUUAAAUUGUGAAAAUUUGCAUUCAAAAUUGUUUUCAGCUUCUUGUAAAUUUGUGCUAAGAACAAGGUAGUAUGGGAUCUCUUUGUCCACGGAUUGGAAUGAGAUAACGAAUGUGAUACUUAAGAGGCUUGACUCUCUCACCCCAAUAACUAACUUUUGGAUGUGGUUCUUCAAGGUGCUUAAGUACCUAAUAAUGGCAUCAAAAUCAGCUGUUGACGUUUUGAAGUGGAAUUGUGGAGGGUUCUGAUUGGGUGUGGCCAAGUGAAGUACCAUCAGGACAUCAUGGAAAGUUUUUAGGAACCAAGGUAGUAUAGGAUUCCUUUGUCUCACAUUGGUUAGGAUGGGAUGAUCAAUGUGGUACUUAAGUGAUUUGGCUCUUCCACCCUAAUAGUUGACUUUUUGGAGCGUGGUUCCCUAAGAUGCUUAAGUACUUAACAAGUUGUUCGGUUGAGGCAAUCAAAUUUGUUGAAGGUUUUAUCUGCUAAUAGGAAUCAGGAGAUGUCUCUACAGAAGAUGAUGUGAAACAAUGAUGUUCCAGCUCAUUUGCUCAUUCCUGUGGAUAAAAUUCUUUAUUGAAGUUAAUCCAUGUCACAAGUGGUGAGAUUUGGGCAUUUACUGAGGACCAAAUGGUGGAAUUAUGUUAUGUUCUAACACUUACAACCAUUUUUUUUUCCUCGAGGGCAAAAGGCUGCUUAGCUUGUCGCAUAGUUUAAACUACUAAGAUGACGUGAAAGUUCUCUAAAAAAUUUGUAGAAGCAAUUGCAACCUUUCCUAAACUUCUGUCGAGCUAAAUUGUACAAAAGGCUUAGAAGGAAUGUGAACCUACCCAGAUGUUCGAUAUCAGCAUGGAUGCAAAAAGUUUGUAGUUCUUCGGAUAGAUUGAGUUCUGCAAGCCUACGAUAUUAGCUUCUCUGGAGAAAUCAAGUGAUAUAAACAGGCUUUUAAUAGACCGUCUUUUUUUAUUUGGUCUAAUAUGAUCCAUCGGUUGCAGCAGAAUAGUGAUGCUAAGGGAUUGAGUAGUUCAACUUGAAUUUUAUUGUUCAUCUGUGACGGUCUUUCCAUGGAGAAAGAAAUGUGAAGUUUUAAUUCUAUAAUAUUGGUUGCGCAUGGCAUGGCAAUCGCGGUACAGACAUGCAAAUAAAAGAAAUUGUGUAAGUUAUUGGCUUUUGCAUUUCUUUAAUUUCUUUGUUUUCUUCAUUUGUCACCUUUAGAUUUUCCUCUAUGUGUAGACGUGAAUUACCGUUAGUGCAAAAGCUUCUCAUGGAAAGUUUCUGCAAGUUUCUUCAUGUGCCUUGUUUUUCCCUUCUUACUGGUUUUUAUUCCACAUUGGGCUCCAACACGGCCCAUCCCUGCGUCUUGCGCUUCUGUUUAAUAAUUAUAUCUAAGAAUCGUGUAACAAUUUUGGAAUUCAAUGUUUUGAGAUCCUACGGCACAAUCAUUUUCUAGGAAGUUAUUGUCUUCUGAGGAUUAAAGAAUCUAUAUCUUUUUAAUCUUUCAUUUCCCGUUCUCCCUCCGGUUUGGUUUCUAAGAGUCACUGAAUAAGAUUCAUUUUUCUAAUAGUUUAUUUGAUGCACUGUUUCCGAGUAAGAAUCUAACAGUGACAUUAUUUGCUGCCUAUAAUUAUAGUUUCUGUCGCAGGGUGCUAGUGUUGGAACUACAUAGACCGUUAAAAUUGUCAACCGUUCUUAUUAGGAUAGAGGGUCCCUCAUUUACUAAUUGUGAAAUUGAUUUUUGCUUCCCUUCAAGAGUCUUGCCACUAUCUUAAUUAAAUCUGCUUAUUCAAAUUCUUUUUAUCUAUUGAGCAAUUUUGGUUUUUUCGGUAUAUUUAUCCUUACCUUUGUCAUUUGAACAUCAAUUUUUACUGCCUUAGAUUACUUUAAAUUUUGAUGAGUUUAAUUCAUGCAGAGGAAAACAUAAGUUUCUUGCACAUUUAUAUUCUGCUUUUAUUGUGCUAGUUUAUUUUUGACGAUGUGGCCUGUGAAAGGACUCAACAUUGGGUGUUAUUAUAAAUACUUUGACGAACUAAUAGUGGAUGUUGUAUUUAGAAUUCUUGUCUAGGUACUUCUAAUCUUUACCUUACACUAGAUGAACACGGAUGAACUGCUCAGUUCACAGAAGAAAGACUAUGUGGGGGCAUUUUUAAGUUGUGCUUAGGUGUUCGUGCUGUAAGGACCCACUGGCUAUCCUAUCAAGCGACAAGAAGCGAUGGGCUGAAAGGAACUAGAAACAAAUAUUUAUAUGAAUUGCAAGCACUUAGCUUAGCGAUGGAAAAUCGCUGCUGUGGAAUCAUAAAACCCUUUCUUGUCAUCUUCAUGAUUUUUAAAUCUCUUUUUGGGCCAUCAUGUCAGGUAGUUGGGUUGGGGAGGCAGGCCAUAAUGCUGUUUAUGAUCCUUUUGUCGGCGGAAAACAUGCAUGGAACGAAUUACGUGUCGAUAUGAGGCAAAUUAGCUUCAUGAAAAUUGAAAGAGAUGAAAAGAGAUUGGUAAGCAGCAGAAAUUAAUCGACAGGUUAAAAGGUGAGAGAGCCUCGAAUCUGCCAUGAAUUGAAAGAUACGUUUCAGUUUGUAUGUGCCCAGGGAAAUGGCUGUGUGAAACCCAUGAUUUUGUGCCCCUUCCCAGUGGGGAACUGUGAAACUCGACCCCCAAAGCCUUCCUUGCGGCGAGAAGAUGAAGAAACCCUCUCAACUUUUUUUUGGUUUAGAGUGUCCAUAGAGGUGAUCAAAUAGGUAUUUGGUCGGAAAAUAAAUUGAAUUUCAACCUAAAAAUGAUGUACUUGAAGGACAUCUUGAACGGACGCAAAUUUUUAAUAAUAUUUAGGAGUUACUCUUAUUGUAGUACAUUUGUUUUGAGGUUAAACUUUAUGUAUAUCAUUUGGCUUAUGUUAUACAAUUCAUGUAUCUCUUUUCAUGA